UGUCUGGGAAGCUGCCUGAUGGAGGGGGAUAACUACUGGAAACGGUAGCUAAUACCGCAUAAUGUCGCAAGACCAAAGAGGGGGACCUUCGGGCCUCUUGCCAUCGGAUGUGCCCAGAUGGGAUUAGCUAGUAGGUGGGGUAACGGCUCACCUAGGCGACGAUCCCUAGCUGGUCUGAGAGGAUGACCAGCCACACUGGAACUGAGACACGGUCCAGACUCCUACGGGAGGCAGCAGUGGGGAAUAUUGCACAAUGGGCGCAAGCCUGAUGCAGCCAUGCCGCGUGUAUGAAGAAGGCCUUCGGGUUGUAAAGUACUUUCAGCGGGGAGGAAGGGAGUAAAGUUAAUACCUUUGCUCAUUGACGUUACCCGCAGAAGAAGCACCGGCUAACUCCGUG
Molecule: ribosomal RNA, 397 nt
Filed under: uncultured Gammaproteobacteria bacterium
Lineage: Bacteria; Pseudomonadati; Pseudomonadota; Gammaproteobacteria
Description: bacterial SSU rRNA
Rfam family: Bacterial small subunit ribosomal RNA
Source: RNAcentral